Molecule: ribosomal RNA, 459 nt
Filed under: uncultured bacterium
Lineage: Bacteria
Description: partial 16S ribosomal RNA
Rfam family: Bacterial small subunit ribosomal RNA
Source: RNAcentral
CCUACGGGAGGCAGCAGUGAGGAAUAUUGGUCAAUGGACGCAAGUCUGAACCAGCCAUGCCGCGUGCAGGAAGACGGCUCUAUGAGUUGUAAACUGCUUUUGUACGAGGGUAAAUCCCGAUACGUGUAUCUGGUUGAACGUAUCGUACGAAUAAGGAUCGGCUAACUCCGUGCCAGCAGCCGCGGUAAUACGGAGGAUUCAAGCGUUAUCCGGAUUUAUUGGGUUUCAAGGGUGCGCAGGCGGAAGAUAAAGUCAGCGGUAAAAUUGUGGGGCUAAACCUUUUCGAGCCGUUGAAACUGGUUUUCUUGAGUGAGCGGGAGGUAGGCGGAAUUCGUGGUGUAGCGGUGAAAUGCAUAGAUAUCACGCAGAACUCCGAUUGCGAAGGCAGCAUACCGGCGCUCAACUGACGCUCAGGCACGAAAGUGUGGGUAUCGAACAGGAUUAGAUACCCGGGUAGUC